Long non-coding RNA from Equus caballus (horse), 2280 nucleotides. NCBI's taxonomy places the organism in Eukaryota, Metazoa, Chordata, Mammalia, Perissodactyla, Equidae. The record is from Ensembl.
CGUGUAACGACAGAGGCAGAAAUUGGAGCGACACAGCAACAAGCCAAGGACUAUCAAGGAGUGCCGGUCAUUCUCAGACACUAGGGGGAGGUAAGGAAGGAGCCUACACAGCCUCAGAAGGAUCCAACCCUGUGACACCUUGAGUUCAGACUUCUGGCCUCCAGAACUGGAGAGGAUAAAUUUCUGUUGCUGUAAGCCACCCAGCAUGUGGCACUUCAUUAAAGCAGCUCCAGGAAACGAGUAGAGAAAGCAUCCCAGGUAAUUCCUGUGUGCAAAAUAACUGACAAUCGCUGAGCUAAAAAGUCUCUUGAGCCCUUCCUGCCGGGACCUGGUGGGACUCUGCGAUGCCUCCUUAGCCCUGAACUCCCCCUCUUUCUCAGACAAGCGUCCAUCCAGGUUCCUGACACCAGGACUCUCUAGAAGAAAGAAAAGGCCAAGAGGAAACUUCCAAGGAAGCUAUUUGUCACCUUGUCCCGACUUGCAGAUGGGGAGUGAGGAAAUUUGUCCCAAGGAUCACGGCUGGGAAGCGGCCAGGCGCAGCGUCCCACUCGGGCCUGGGUGAUGCUCAGUCCUCCCUGUGAUGGAUCCUCCUGCCCCGCCCUGUCUGUGGGUCCAGCCUGCACAAUGUCUGUGAAGCGGUUCAGCGAACACUGUGAGCACGUGUUGCCAAGAUGCCUAGCCCCAUGGAGGGCAGCUUCCAGAGGAGGGAAAAGGCUCAGAGCAGUCAAUCUCCUUGUGCAGGCGCCACAGCUAAGAGCCGCUGCAGAACCACGCAGCACGCUGACUUGCCCCCGGGAGUCCCCUGUGGCACCGGGCUUCAUGUGGCUCUGUGUUGGGGGCUGGCACGGGCAGCGGGGCACCAGCUUCUCCCUCAGACGUGAACCCGAGGCAGAGAUAAGAGCAGCCUCAAGAUGCCACCUUCAGGACACCGAAGUGUCGUCUUCAGGACACCAGACAUUGGAAACGAAGCUUUGCUCCCGGGAACAUGUCAGGCUGGGCGUGUGCGCGUCUUCGCAGUGCGGGGUCCCUUCACGUGCAGACCAUGGCCUCACAUAGCUCGAUAAAUCUGCCUCACUUAGUUUUUUGAGAGUCUCUACAAUUCCCUUAGCUGGAUUACUACGACCUCAAGAACAAGACCGUGACUUUCUCCACUUGAUAGUCCAAAAAACACUGAGCACAGACGCUGCCUACGGCCUGUCUUUGCCACACGUUUUCUGAGAGCACGGAUGCACGAGAGAAGGGACCGGAGAACGGAGGCAGGCUGCCCAGUUCAGCAGAAGAGCUGUGUAGUCGAUUAGGCUUGAGCUAACAUCUGCAACCAACCCUCUUCUUUUUGCUGAGGAAGACCAGUGCUGAGCUAACAUCCAUGACCAUCUUCCUCUACUUUAUAUGUGAGACGCCUGCCACAGCAUGGCUUGACAAGCAGUGUGGAGGUCCGUGCCGGGGAUCAGAACCAGCGAACCCUGGGCCGCUGAAGCGGAGCGCACAAACUUAACCGCUGCACCACUGGGCCAGCCCCCUUCAUCUUCCUAUUUUACAGAAGAAAACAACAUCUCAUUUUGUCUUCAUAUUUUUUUAGAUUUUUAGAAUACUUUUUAUUGAGGUAUAGCAUAUAAAAUGCACACAUCUUAGGUGUACAACUCAAUGAAUUUUUAUGUAUAGCAAUGCCUACAUAACUACCAUCAAGAUCGAGAUAGAGAACAUUUCCACCACUCCAGAAGGUUCUAUGUACCCCACCCCCACUAUUCCGCCUUUUUUCACCUUAGAACAGUUUGCCUGUUUGUGACUCUCAUAUAUAUUGAAACAUACGGUAAUUACUCUUUUGCAUCUGGCUUUUUUGACUCAACAUUUCGUCCUUGGGAGUCACUCCUGCUGAUGUGUGCAUUUGUAGUUUGCUUGUUCUCAUUGCUCACUCCAUUCUAUUGUGUGAAUAAACCACACUUCAUGUAUCCAUUCCUCUGCCGAAGGAUAUUUGGUUGUUUCCAGUUUUGAGCUACAAUGAAUAAAACUGCUAUGAACAUUCUUGUAAUGCCUUGGUGGACAGAAGCACUCACAUCCAUGGAGUAUAUGCCCAGGAUUGGAAGUGUUGGGCCAGACACUGUUCACAUAUUCAGUUUUAGUAGAUCAUUCUAAAUAUCUUUUCUAUGUGGUUGUAUCAAUUUAACUUCCUCCCAGACAUGAAUGAGCAUUCCAGUUGCUCCACAUCCUUACCAACACAUAAUAUUUUUAGUCUUUUCAGUUUCAGACAUUCCGGUUUAAUUUGUAUUUUUAUUGUUACAG